Long non-coding RNA from Solanum stenotomum, 327 nucleotides. RefSeq lists it as uncharacterized. NCBI's taxonomy places the organism in Eukaryota, Viridiplantae, Streptophyta, Magnoliopsida, Solanales, Solanaceae. The record is from RefSeq and is a predicted model, not a curated record. The transcript has 2 exons.
AAUUUUACACAAGAAGAAAAUAGAGUGUCAGUCAAUUGACUUGAACACACAGAACAUACUUCCUCCAUCUCAAAUUAUCUGUAGUAUUUUCUAAAUAUAUCUGUCUCAAAUGAUUAUGUGUGUUAUCACCUCUUGAAGUUGUCAAUUUACUUUAUUCCUAAUUGUCAAUUAAGAUUUUCUACUCAUUUUCGUCGAUACGAUGACAAGAUCAUGACUUUAACAAUUGCAUAAACACAUAAAUUGAGUAAACAGAGAUUAUAACUUCAUAUAAACAAGGUUAAGCAGUCAAAAACCCUCAAGUAAAGCAAAAAAAAAAAAAAAAAAAAA